GGUUAAGCGACUAAGCGUACACGGUGGAUGCCCUGGCAGUCAGAGGCGAUGAAGGACGUGCUAAUCUGCGAUAAGCGUCGGUAAGGUGAUAUGAACCGUUAUAACCGGCGAUUUCCGAAUGGGGAAACCCAGUGUGAUUCGUCACACUAUCAUUAACUGAAUCCAUAGGUUAAUGAGGCGAACCGGGGGAACUGAAACAUCUAAGUACCCCGAGGAAAAGAAAUCAACCGAGAUUCCCCCAGUAGCGGCGAGCGAACGGGGAGCAGCCCAGAGCCUGAAUCAGUGUGUGUGUUAGUGGAAGCGUCUGGAAAGGCGUGCGAUACAGGGUGACAGCCCCGUACACAAAAAUGCACAUACUGUGAGCUCGAUGAGUAGGGCGGGACACGUGGUAUCCUGUCUGAAUAUGGGGGGACCAUCCUCCAAGGCUAAAUACUCCUGACUGACCGAUAGUGAACCAGUACCGUGAGGGAAAGGCGAAAAGAACCCCGGCGAGGGGAGUGAAAAAGAACCUGAAACCGUGUACGUACAAGCAGUGGGAGCACGCUUAGGCGUGUGACUGCGUACCUUUUGUAUAAUGGGUCAGCGACUUAUAUUCUGUAGCAAGGUUAACCGAAUAGGGGAGCCGAAGGGAAACCGAGUCUUAACUGGGCGUUAAGUUGCAGGGUAUAGACCCGAAACCCGGUGAUCUAGCCAUGGGCAGGUUGAAGGUUGGGUAACACUAACUGGAGGACCGAACCGACUAAUGUUGAAAAAUUAGCGGAUGACUUGUGGCUGGGGGUGAAAGGCCAAUCAAACCGGGAGAUAGCUGGUUCUCCCCGAAAGCUAUUUAGGUAGCGCCUCGUGAAUUCAUCUCCGGGGGUAGAGCACUGUUUCGGCAAGGGGGUCAUCCCGACUUACCAACCCGAUGCAAACUGCGAAUACCGGAGAAUGUUAUCACGGGAGACACACGGCGGGUGCUAACGUCCGUCGUGAAGAGGGAAACAACCCAGACCGCCAGCUAAGGUCCCAAAGUCAUGGUUAAGUGGGAAACGAUGUGGGAAGGCCCAGACAGCCAGGAUGUUGGCUUAGAAGCAGCCAUCAUUUAAAGAAAGCGUAAUAGCUCACUGGUCGAGUCGGCCUGCGCGGAAGAUGUAACGGGGCUAAACCAUGCACCGAAGCUGCGGCAGCGACGCUUAUGCGUUGUUGGGUAGGGGAGCGUUCUGUAAGCCUGUGAAGGUGUGCUGUGAGGUAUGCUGGAGGUAUCAGAAGUGCGAAUGCUGACAUAAGUAACGAUAAAGCGGGUGAAAAGCCCGCUCGCCGGAAGACCAAGGGUUCCUGUCCAACGUUAAUCGGGGCAGGGUGAGUCGACCCCUAAGGCGAGGCCGAAAGGCGUAGUCGAUGGGAAACAGGUUAAUAUUCCUGUACUUGGUGUUACUGCGAAGGGGGGACGGAGAAGGCUAUGUUGGCCGGGCGACGGUUGUCCCGGUUUAAGCGUGUAGGCUGGUUUUCCAGGCAAAUCCGGAAAAUCAAGGCCGAGGCGUGAUGACGAGGCACUACGGUGCUGAAGCAACAAAUGCCCUGCUUCCAGGAAAAGCCUCUAAGCAUCAGGUAACAUCAAAUCGUACCCCAAACCGACACAGGUGGUCAGGUAGAGAAUACCAAGGCGCUUGAGAGAACUCGGGUGAAGGAACUAGGCAAAAUGGUGCCGUAACUUCGGGAGAAGGCACGCUGAUACGUAGGUGAAGCGACUUGCUCGUGGAGCUGAAAUCAGUCGAAGAUACCAGCUGGCUGCAACUGUUUAUUAAAAACACAGCACUGUGCAAACACGAAAGUGGACGUAUACGGUGUGACGCCUGCCCGGUGCCGGAAGGUUAAUUGAUGGGGUUAGCGCAAGCGAAGCUCUUGAUCGAAGCCCCGGUAAACGGCGGCCGUAACUAUAACGGUCCUAAGGUAGCGAAAUUCCUUGUCGGGUAAGUUCCGACCUGCACGAAUGGCGUAAUGAUGGCCAGGCUGUCUCCACCCGAGACUCAGUGAAAUUGAACUCGCUGUGAAGAUGCAGUGUACCCGCGGCAAGACGGAAAGACCCCGUGAACCUUUACUAUAGCUUGACACUGAACAUUGAGCCUUGAUGUGUAGGAUAGGUGGGAGGCUUUGA
This 2134-nucleotide ribosomal RNA is filed under the name Escherichia coli. RNAcentral describes it as "partial 23S ribosomal RNA". It matches the Rfam family "Bacterial large subunit ribosomal RNA", at positions 1 to 2160 of the family's 2925-position model. Lineage: Bacteria; Pseudomonadati; Pseudomonadota; Gammaproteobacteria; Enterobacterales; Enterobacteriaceae. RNAcentral also lists the same sequence under 1 other name. The record is from RNAcentral.